UACAGAGGGUGCAAGCGUUGUUCGGAAUUAUUGGGCGUAAAGAGCUCGUAGGCGGUGUGUCGCGUCGGCCGUGAAAACCUGGGGCUCAACUCUGGGCGUGCGGUCGAUACGGGCAGGCUAGAGUUCGGUAGGGGAGACUGGAAUUCCUGGUGUAGCGGUGAAAUGCGCAGAUAUCAGGAGGAACACCGGUGGCGAAGGCGGGUCUCUGGGCCGAUACUGACGCUGAGGAGCGAAAGCGUGGGGAGCGAACAGG
RNAcentral lists this ribosomal RNA (253 nucleotides) under uncultured bacterium. RNAcentral describes it as "partial 16S ribosomal RNA". It matches the Rfam family "Bacterial small subunit ribosomal RNA", at positions 524 to 776 of the family's 1533-position model. The record is from RNAcentral.